This 549-nucleotide ribosomal RNA is filed under the name Triticum aestivum (bread wheat). RNAcentral's name for it is "partial small subunit ribosomal RNA". Lineage: Eukaryota; Viridiplantae; Streptophyta; Magnoliopsida; Poales; Poaceae. The record is from RNAcentral.
AUGAUAUUUGAUUCAAUAAUUUUUGAAGUUGAUCUCAAGGUCAAGGUUGUGAAUAGCAGAAAGGUCAAUGACAAGAGAGUUAGCAAAGGCCUAAUGGAGAUUAAUGGCAUCUCCAGACUGUCAUUUCCACCGAAAUACAAGGUUCAAACCGAAACGCUUGUCAGCAUGCACAGCACAUUGGAUUUAAACUACACGUUUGUAAGAAAGGCGGUGGAGGGCACCGUUGAGAUGAGGAUCCUUGAGGCGGGACCUGUUAAUUUCCAUGGGAAAAUCAUCGCUCGCACUAGCAGCUUUCCAUGUGACAUUAUGCUACAUGAUAGCAAACUUGCUGGGAUGCUAAUAGCUGGUGAGGGUGGGAUCCUGCAAACAGCGCGCCGCGUGGUCAGUGUCUCGGUUGAUGAGCCGCUCCUGUUGACUAUUGCCACUGCUACAGGCGGUGUCCGCACUGUCGAGUUUACUCCAAAGCACGGCAGCUAUGAUGAAGAGAGAAUCACUUGCAGCGACUAUAAGAUGCUGGUGAAGGUCACCUGGUCCAUUGUGCAUCGCUGA